This 433-nucleotide ribosomal RNA is filed under the name uncultured bacterium. RNAcentral's name for it is "bacterial SSU rRNA". It matches the Rfam family "Bacterial small subunit ribosomal RNA", at positions 29 to 506 of the family's 1533-position model. The record is from RNAcentral.
GUGAACGCUAGCGGUGCGCCUAACACAUGCAAGUCGCACGACCCGCAAGGGUAGUGGCGGACGACUGCGUAACACGUUGGAACCUGCCCCGGACUCAGGGAUACCCCCGCGAAAGCGGGGUUAAUACCGGAUGCCCUCGCAAGAGGAAAGCUUCGGCGGUCCGGGAGGGGCCUGCGGCCUAUCAGCUUGUUGGUGGGGUAACGGCCUACCAAGGCUAUGACGGGUAGCUGGUCUGAGAGGACGACCAGCCAGGAUGGGACUGAGACACGGCCCAUACUGCUACGGGAGGCAGCAGUGAGGAAUCUUCCGCAAUGGGCGAAAGCCUGACGGAGCGACACCGCGUGGAGGAUGAAGCCCUUCUUGGGUGUAAACUCCUGUUCUGAGGGAACAAAUUUUUGAGUGUACCUCAGGAGAAAGCAUCGGCCAACUACGU